UAUUCUCCUUAUUCUGGAACGUCACAGUGGUCACAGCGAGUUCAUUGCAAUUGUGUUUCUAUUUCCGGCAACAUUCGCGUGACGCUAGCACAUGCAAAAGUGAAACUUUCCGUUGAGGACUCGAUAGUUUUACACUGACAGAACCGCACAAAAUCUUAAAAUCUAUCACCAUAAUAGACGUUAUAUAUUCAUUACGAGGCUGUCACAAUAAGUGGAUGAAGAGGAGGCAGUUUUUACAACAGCAAUGUUUUGAACACCAACAUCCACGUCGAUCUGAAUGUACCUGAGGAGCCCCAUACAACCUGAAAAAAAAACCCAGAAAAAUGGCUUGGCUACGAUGCUCCACUCGUGAAGAAGCGUCGGGUGUUGCUCAGGCAGUAAUCAGUGACAGCACAAUCCUUAAGGCUGGGAAGAGGAAGAAAGAGAGGGACGAUGGAGAGAUGGGACGGAGGUCUGUCUGUAGGGUUUUCCCUGAGCGCCAGGUUCUCAUGGGAAGGGGAUAUGAGGAGUGUGACACUAAUGAAGAAUGGUGCCAGAGGGAAUGACGGACAUUUUAUGGGCUCCUGACCAAUUGUGCUAGUUUGUAUAUUUUUUUUGUGCUGAUCUUAACUUUUUAAGAUUUUCUGCUCGCCUGAGUUAGAAUACCUCAUGAGCUGUAGAUCAUACCAUGUGCAAAGUGUUUUCAUCUGUAUCUUUCGUAGUUGUUUAUUUACCACAGCUAACGGAGGCUGGCACUAAGACCACUCUCAAUGGGCUGUAUAUGGCCAUUAGCAAACAAAAAAAAAUGCUGAUCCAGAAGCGGCGCUCGUAGUGGCCAGUGAUUUUAAAGCAUGAAAAAUGAAAUCCAUUUGUGAUUAAAAUGUUCUCUUUCUGUAUCAGAUCGAAUGUUUAGAAUAAUGCUGCUCUGUAAUUAUAUCUCUUGGUUUGGUAACAUGCAAGUAAAUUAUUGAUUGUACAUGGGAGAAAACCUUAAUAUUGCUGAUAUAUAGCUAAUAUAAUAUUGCAAUUUGGCAGUAUGCCCAGAACAUUGCUCUGGCAACCAAAAAGAGUAUCUCAGUUUCAAGGUCUCAGCUUUGAGAGAAAAAGCCUUGUGAUGUGUCAGUCAGUCACAUGCAGGAACCAACGUUAAUAAUAAAUAAUGUAAAUCAUACUUAAAUGACUUGUUUGUGUGGCAGGAUAUAAGGACUGAAAGAGAACGCACUUGUAAGAGUUUUCAUCAAGCUUGAAUUGAGUUUGUGAAACUCUCUGGCUGUGAUAAUAAAGAUUGAUUAUUUUAAAUUGA
Oncorhynchus mykiss (rainbow trout) is the source of this 1282-nucleotide long non-coding RNA. RefSeq lists it as uncharacterized. The record is from RefSeq and is a predicted model, not a curated record. NCBI's taxonomy places the organism in Eukaryota, Metazoa, Chordata, Actinopteri, Salmoniformes, Salmonidae.